UACGUAGGGGGCAAGCGUUGUCCGGAUUUAUUGGGCGUAAAGAGCUCGUAGGCGGCCAACUAAGUCAGACGUGAAAUCCCUCAGCUUAACUGAGGAACUGCGUCUGAUACUGGAUGGCUUGGAUUCGGGAGAGGGAUGCGGAAUUCCAGGUGUAGCGGUGAAAUGCGUAGAUAUCUGGAGGAACACCGGUGGCGAAGGCGGCAUCCUGGACCGAUAUUGACGCUGAGGAGCGAAAGCUAGGGGAGCAAACGGG
This 253-nucleotide ribosomal RNA is filed under the name uncultured bacterium. RNAcentral describes it as "partial 16S ribosomal RNA". It matches the Rfam family "Bacterial small subunit ribosomal RNA", at positions 524 to 776 of the family's 1533-position model. The record is from RNAcentral.